Molecule: ribosomal RNA, 253 nt
Filed under: uncultured bacterium
Lineage: Bacteria
Description: partial 16S ribosomal RNA
Rfam family: Bacterial small subunit ribosomal RNA
Source: RNAcentral
UACGGAGGGUGCAAACGUUGCUCGGAAUCACUGGGCGUAAAGCGCACGUAGGCGGAUUGCCAAGUCGGAUGUGAAAGCCCUCAGCUUAACUGAGGAAGUGCACUCGAAACUGGCAGUCUUGAGUAUGGAAGAGGGUCGCGGAAUUCCCGGUGUAGAGGUGAAAUUCGUAGAUAUCGGGAGGAACACCAACGGCGAAGGCAGCACUCUGGGCCGGUACUGACGCUGAGGAGCGAAAGCGUGGGGAGCAAACAGG